UAGUCUGCAACUCGACUACAUGAAGCUGGAAUCGCUAGUAAUCGCGAAUCAGCAUGUCGCGGUGAAUACGUUCCCGGGUCUUGUACACACCGCCCGUCACACCAUGGGAGUUGGUAACGCCCGAAGCCAGUGACCCAACCUUAAGAGGAGGGAGCUGUCGAAGGUGGGACCGAUAACUGGGGUGAAGUCGUAACAAGGUAAC
This 202-nucleotide ribosomal RNA is filed under the name uncultured bacterium. RNAcentral describes it as "partial 16S ribosomal RNA". It matches the Rfam family "Bacterial small subunit ribosomal RNA", at positions 1301 to 1500 of the family's 1533-position model. The record is from RNAcentral.